This 306-nucleotide unclassified non-coding RNA is filed under the name uncultured Alphaproteobacteria bacterium. Its description in RNAcentral is "contains 16S-23S intergenic spacer region". The record is from RNAcentral. Lineage: Bacteria; Pseudomonadati; Pseudomonadota; Alphaproteobacteria.
UCGCGGCUUAUCACCGCCAGUCCCCUUAGAGUGCCCAACUGAAUGAUGGCAACUAAGGGCGAGGGUUGCGCCCCUUGCGGGGAAACCGGAUCUCUCCGGCGAGCACAGGAUGUCAAGGCCUGGUAAGGUUCUGCGCGUUGCGUCGAAUUAAACCACAUGCUCCACCGCUUGUGCGGGCCCCCGUCAAUUCCUUUGAGUUUCAACCUUGCGGCCGUACUCCCCAGGCGGGACGCUUAAUGCGUUAGCUGCGCCACUGACAAGCAAGCUUGCCAACGGCUAGCGUCCAUCGUUUACGGCGUGGACUAC